Molecule: ribosomal RNA, 497 nt
Filed under: uncultured bacterium
Lineage: Bacteria
Description: partial 16S ribosomal RNA
Rfam family: Bacterial small subunit ribosomal RNA
Source: RNAcentral
GAUGAACGCUGGCGGCGUGCCUAAUACAUGCGAGUCGAGCGAACGGACGAGAAGCUUGCUUCUCUGAUGUUAGCGGCGGACGGGUGAGUAACACGUGGAUAACCUACCUAUAAGACUGGGAUAACUUCGGGAAACCGGAGCUAAUACCGGAUGAUAUUUUGAACCGCAUGGUUCAAAAGUGAAAGACGGUCUUGCUGUCACUUAUAGAUGGAUCCGCGCUGCAUUAGCUAGUUGGUAAGGUAACGGCUUACCAAGGCAACGAUGCAUAGCCGACCUGAGAGGGUGAUCGGCCACACUGGAACUGAGACACGGUCCAGACUCCUACGGGAGGCAGCAGUAGGGAAUCUUCCGCAAUGGGCGAAAGCCUGACGGAGCAACGCCGCGUGAGUGAUGAAGGUCUUCGGAUCGUAAAACUCUGUUAUUAGGGAAGAACAUAUGUGUAAGUAACUGUGCACAUCUUGACGGUACCUAAUCAGAAAGCCACGGCUAACUACGUG